RNAcentral lists this ribosomal RNA (300 nucleotides) under uncultured Paracoccaceae bacterium. RNAcentral's name for it is "bacterial SSU rRNA". It matches the Rfam family "Bacterial small subunit ribosomal RNA", at positions 114 to 439 of the family's 1533-position model. Lineage: Bacteria; Pseudomonadati; Pseudomonadota; Alphaproteobacteria; Rhodobacterales; Paracoccaceae. The record is from RNAcentral.
CGCGUGGGAAUAUGCCCUUCUCUAAGGAAUAGCCUCUGGAAACGGAGAGUAAUACCUUAUACGCCUUCGGGAAGAUUAUCGAGAAGAUAGCCGCGUUAGAUUAGGUAGUUGGUGGGGUAAGUGGCCUACCAAGCCUACGAUCUAUAGCUGGUUUGAGAGGAUGAUCAGCCACACUGGGACUGAGACACGGCCCAGACUCCUACGGGAGGCAGCAGUAGGGAAUCUUAGACAAUGGGGGAAACCCUGAUCUAGCCAUGCCGCGUGUGUGAUGAAGGCCCUAGGGUCGUAAAGCACUUUCGC